RNAcentral lists this ribosomal RNA (678 nucleotides) under uncultured bacterium. RNAcentral's name for it is "bacterial SSU rRNA". It matches the Rfam family "Bacterial small subunit ribosomal RNA", at positions 54 to 749 of the family's 1533-position model. The record is from RNAcentral.
CAUGCAAGUCGAACGAUGAAGCCUUUCGGGGUGGAUUAGUGGCGAACGGGUGAGUAACACGUGGGUAACCUGCCCUUGUCUUUGGGAUAAGCCCUGGAAACGGGGUCUAAUACCGGAUAUGACCUGCUCUCGCAUGGGGGUGGGUGGAAAGUUCUGGCGGACAGGGAUGGGCCCGCGGCCUAUCAGCUUGUUGGUGGGGUGAUGGCCUACCAAGGCGACGACGGGUAGCCGGCCUGAGAGGGCGACCGGCCACACUGGGACUGAGACACGGCCCAGACUCCUACGGGAGGCAGCAGUGGGGAAUAUUGCACAAUGGGCGAAAGCCUGAUGCAGCGACGCCGCGUGAGGGAUGACGGCCUUCGGGUUGUAAACCUCUUUCGCCCAGGACGAAGCGAGAGUGACGGUACUGGGAGAAGGAGCACCGGCUAACUACGUGCCAGCAGCCGCGGUAAUACGUAGGGUGCGAGCGUUGUCCGGAAUUAUUGGGCGUAAAGAGCUCGUAGGCGGUUUGUCGCGUCGACUGUGAAAACCUGGGGCUUAACUCUGGGCUUGCAGUCGAUACGGGCAGACUUGAGUUCGGUAGGGGAGACUGGAAUUCCUGGUGUAGCGGUGAAAUGCGCAGAUAUCANGAGGAACACCGGUGGCGAAAGCGGGUCUCUGGGCCGAUACUGACGCUGA